UGGGGAAUCUUCCGCAAUGGACGAAAGUCUGACGGAGCAACGCCGCGUGAGUGAAGACGGCCUUCGGGUUGUAAAGCUCUGUGAUCCGGGACGAAAGAGCCUGAGGUGAAUAGCCUAAGGAAGUGACGGUACCGGAAAAGCAAGCCACGGCUAACUACGUGCCAGCAGCCGCGGUAAUACGUAGGUGGCAAGCGUUGUCCGGAAUUAUUGGGCGUAAAGCGCGCGCAGGCGGCUUCCUAAGUCCAUCUUAAAAGUGCGGGGCUUAACCCCGUGAUGGGAUGGAAACUGGAAAGCUGGAGUAUCGGAGAGGAAAGUGGAAUUCCUAGUGUAGCGGUGAAAUGCGUAGAGAUUAGGAAGAACACCGGUGGCGAAGGCGACUUUCUGGACGAAAACUGACGCUGAGGCGCGAAAGCGUGGGGAGCAAACAGG
RNAcentral lists this ribosomal RNA (429 nucleotides) under Fusobacteriota bacterium. RNAcentral describes it as "Fusobacteria bacterium partial 16S ribosomal RNA". It matches the Rfam family "Bacterial small subunit ribosomal RNA", at positions 355 to 776 of the family's 1533-position model. Lineage: Bacteria; Fusobacteriati; Fusobacteriota. The record is from RNAcentral.